UAUNGGUCAAUGGGGGCAACCCUGAACCAGCNACGCCGCGUGAGGGAAGACGGUUUUCGGAUUGUAAACCUCUGUUUUCUGUGAAGAUGAUGACGGUAUCAGAGGAGGAAGCUCUGGCUAACUACGUGCCAGCAGCCGCGGUAAUACGUAGGGAGCGAGCGUUGUCCGGAUUUACUGGGUGUAAAGCGUGCGUAGGCGGCUAUGCAAGUCAGUAGUGAAAUCCAUGGGCUUAACCCAUGAACUGCUAUUGAAACUGCACAGCUUGAGUGAAGUAGAGGUAGGCGGAAUUCCCGGUGUAGCGGUGAAAUGCGUAGAGAUCGGGAGGAACACCAGUGGCGAAGGCGGCCUACUGGGCUUUAACUGACGCUGAGGCACGAAAGCGUGGGUAGCAAACAGG
RNAcentral lists this ribosomal RNA (397 nucleotides) under uncultured bacterium. RNAcentral describes it as "bacterial SSU rRNA". It matches the Rfam family "Bacterial small subunit ribosomal RNA", at positions 362 to 776 of the family's 1533-position model. The record is from RNAcentral.